AGCAAUUUCGUCUCUUCCACCUUCUACUUUUCACGUGGGCUGACAAUAAAAUAUUCCUCAUUCCCUGACACUAGGAUUUUGUUGUGGGACCACCUGUAAAAUGGUUAUUGUACCGUUCCUAGGUGCGCUCAUUUUAUCAGCUAUAAAAGUUUUUUUUUUAUCUUCUUCUUCUUCAGAUUUGAUGACUUCGUGCGCCUUCAUCAUUCGGCUCUGCCUCAAAGUGAUCCUUUCAUCGCAUAGCCUGUUCAGCUAUAAUGGAUGAUUUCUUAUAGGAUAGAUUUG
RNAcentral lists this long non-coding RNA (282 nucleotides) under Salvia miltiorrhiza (redroot sage). RNAcentral's name for it is "long non-coding RNA (SMIL_LNC012304)". Lineage: Eukaryota; Viridiplantae; Streptophyta; Magnoliopsida; Lamiales; Lamiaceae. The record is from RNAcentral.